AACGCAUAUUGCACUCUCUUCCGGAGAGUAUGCCUGUUUCAGUAUCAAUAAUUAUAUUCAAACAUCCAAUUUUUUUUGGAAGGUUUGGAGGUGAGCUUUGCCGAAUUUUUUUUUUUUUUUGGCUGGCUUAAAAUUAAGUCACGACCUGGAGAUAUGGGUUCCUAUAAGCGUAAUAGUUGACCUCUUUUUUGAGGACAUCUUCGCUCACAAGGGCCGGUCUUUGGUGGUGAUUGCUGGAGAAAACCGGAACAUGAUUGUUUCUGAACUUGAUCUGAAAUCAGGUAGGACUACCCGCUGAACUUAA
RNAcentral lists this unclassified non-coding RNA (304 nucleotides) under uncultured fungus. RNAcentral describes it as "sequence contains ITS2". Lineage: Eukaryota; Fungi. The record is from RNAcentral.